Molecule: non-coding RNA, 24 nt
Filed under: Arabidopsis thaliana (thale cress)
Lineage: Eukaryota; Viridiplantae; Streptophyta; Magnoliopsida; Brassicales; Brassicaceae
Source: RNAcentral
ACGGUGAACCAAUGCCUAGCGCCU